RNAcentral lists this ribosomal RNA (142 nucleotides) under Apicomplexa sp. Its description in RNAcentral is "partial small subunit ribosomal RNA". It matches the Rfam family "Eukaryotic small subunit ribosomal RNA", at positions 1296 to 1461 of the family's 1831-position model. Lineage: Eukaryota; Apicomplexa. The record is from RNAcentral.
AGUUGGUGGGGUGACCCGUCUGGUUAAUUUCGAUAACGAACGAGAUCCGAGCUGUUUAGUUGGCUGUGUUUAUUGCUUAGACACAUGUCUCCUAUAUGGACUGUCAGUAUGAGGCUGAAGGAAGUUUCGGGCUAAAUCAGGU